This 596-nucleotide long non-coding RNA is filed under the name Mytilus galloprovincialis (Mediterranean mussel). Lineage: Eukaryota; Metazoa; Mollusca; Bivalvia; Mytilida; Mytilidae. The record is from RNAcentral.
AUGUUGAUCAACAAUCUCCAUAUAUAUGUGUUUUGUCGGAAAUAAUUGAAAUAUUUAGAUUUUUAAAAAUAUUCACACAGAGGUAGAUGUUUUUAUGUUUUUAAUACUGUUUUUGUUCGCUUGAAAGCUUUUUUAAAUGGAACUGCAGAACUGUAAGCAAAUUCAUGCUUUUCAUUGAUAUGGAAACUAAGUUGUUUGGUACUUCGAAUAUGAAUUCUAAAUAAAAUGACUCUCGAAAACAUAUUUAACCUUGUUUACUCGUUGGAGACUUAUCAAGCUAAACUUCUUUUUGAUCAUGAUUGACAAUAAAUCGAACCAUAAUCUGAACCAAGGACGUGUACAGAUCCUUGUCUGAACAUAGAAAAGGUAAAAUGAUCCAUGUUUGCAAUAGGUGAUAUUUUAAGAACAUUACUUCAGGAUUGCAUAAGUAAUAAUGAAAAUGAACAGUGGUGAUAAAAAAAAAAUCCUAGGCGUUAAAUAUAUAAAGAUUAUCAUAUAUAACAUUUUCAAAUGAUCAUAAUUUGUCUUCUCAUCUUAUGUUUGUAAUUACUAUAAUAGAAAAUUAAAGGAUAUGGAAUAUCCAAUGAUGACACAAA